RNAcentral lists this ribosomal RNA (460 nucleotides) under uncultured bacterium. RNAcentral's name for it is "partial 16S ribosomal RNA". It matches the Rfam family "Bacterial small subunit ribosomal RNA", at positions 338 to 795 of the family's 1533-position model. The record is from RNAcentral.
CCUACGGGCGGCAGCAGUGAGGAAUAUUGGUCAAUGGACGAGAGUCUGAACCAGCGAAGUAGCGUGAAGGAUGACUGCCCUCUGGGUGGUAAACUUCUUUUAUAUGGGAAUAAAAUGUUCCACGUGUGGGAUUUUGUAUGUACCAUAUGAAUAAGGAUCGGCUAACUCCGUGCCAGCAGCCGCGGUAAUACGGAGGAUCCGAGCGUUAUCCGGAUUUAUUGGGUGUAAAGGGAGCGUAGAUGGGUUGUUAAGUCAGUUGUGAAAGUUUGCGGCUCAACCGUAAAAUUGCAAUUGAUACUGGCAGUCUUGAGUACAGUUGAGGUAGGCGGAAUUCGUGGUGUAGCGGUGAAAUGCUUAGAUAUCACGAAGAACCCCGAUUGCGAAGGCAGCUUACUAAACUGUGACUGACAUUGAUGCUCGAAAGUGUGGGGAUCAAACAGGAUUAGAUACCCCAGUAGUC